This 67-nucleotide transfer RNA is filed under the name Augilodes binghami. Its description in RNAcentral is "tRNA-Met". Lineage: Eukaryota; Metazoa; Arthropoda; Insecta; Hemiptera; Caliscelidae. The record is from RNAcentral.
AAAAAGAUAAGCUAAAAAAGCUAUUGGGCUCAUAACCCACUUAUGAAUUUAAAAAAUUCUCUUUUUA